This 106-nucleotide small nucleolar RNA is filed under the name Gossypium arboreum. Its description in RNAcentral is "Plant small nucleolar RNA R71". It matches the Rfam family "Plant small nucleolar RNA R71". Rfam says of the family: R71 is a member of the C/D box family of snoRNAs containing the C (UGAUGA) and D (CUGA) box motifs. Multiple nearly identical copies of this snoRNA have been identified in Arabidopsis, and it is thought to function as a 2'-O-ribose methylation guide for 18S ribosomal RNA. Lineage: Eukaryota; Viridiplantae; Streptophyta; Magnoliopsida; Malvales; Malvaceae. The record is from Rfam by way of RNAcentral.
AACCCAUGGUGAGGGCACCUUUGCAAUAGAUCUUUGUAUCUCUCCCAUGCAUCGUAAAAUGAUUCUAAGUCCAUCUGUACAAAAGAAGAGAUAUCAUUAUGUAACU